UCUUUCUCUCUCUCACGGGUACUUAGGAUUACUCAUGAUCAACGCCUGCCACAUGAAGAGACCUUCAAAUGCAAUGCUUUCAAAGGAGAAUCGCACCUCCUCUUCCACAGGCUAAUUGUACAGUGAUCACCCACUCUUGUCACUACAGGCAAUGGAGGGCCCAUAUCCAAACUCACACAUAAUCUCUCCUCCUUGGCACAAUCCCCACCACAAAACCUAAUAGCCUGACCAUCUUCUACCUGUUUUCCCUUACCUGAAAACAUCUUCUUGAGCCUCUUGGCUAUUUUCCGAGCACCGCCUCGCUUAAUAACACCAUUAUUCU
Molecule: long non-coding RNA, 322 nt
Filed under: Amborella trichopoda
Lineage: Eukaryota; Viridiplantae; Streptophyta; Magnoliopsida; Amborellales; Amborellaceae
Description: long non-coding RNA (ATRI_LNC005227)
Source: RNAcentral